AGUGAACGCUGGCGGUAUGCCUAACACAUGCAAGUCGAACGGCAGCACAGUAAGAUCUUGCUCUUACGGGUUGCCGGUGGCGUACGUGUGAGGAAUACAUCCUGAUCUACUUUUUCGUGUGGGAUAACGUAGGUAAACUUACUCUAAUACCGCAUACCACCUACGAGUGAAAGCAGUGGAUCUUCGGACCUUUCGCGAUUGAAUUAGCCGAUGUCGGAUUAGCUAGUUGGCUGGGUAAAGGCCCACCAGGGCGACGAUCCGUAGCCGGUCUGAGAGGAUGAUAAGCGGCAUUGGAGCUGGGACAGGGUCCAGACUACUACGGGAGGCAGCAGUGGGGAAUAUUGGACAAUGGGCGCGAGCCUGAUACAGUGAUACCGCGUGGGUGAAGAAGGCCUUCGGGUUGUAAAGCCCUUUUGUUGGGAAAGAAAAGCAGCAGGUUAAUACGAAGCUGUUCUGACGGUAACCAAAGAAUAAGCACCGGCUAACUUCGUG
RNAcentral lists this ribosomal RNA (492 nucleotides) under uncultured bacterium. RNAcentral describes it as "partial 16S ribosomal RNA". It matches the Rfam family "Bacterial small subunit ribosomal RNA", at positions 29 to 507 of the family's 1533-position model. The record is from RNAcentral.